This 483-nucleotide ribosomal RNA is filed under the name uncultured bacterium. RNAcentral describes it as "bacterial SSU rRNA". It matches the Rfam family "Bacterial small subunit ribosomal RNA", at positions 30 to 500 of the family's 1533-position model. The record is from RNAcentral.
AUUGAACGCUGGCGGUAUGCUUAACACAUGCAAGUCGAACGGCAGCACAGGGUAGCUUGCUAUCCGGGUGGCGAGUGGCGGACGGGUGAGUAACGCGUAGGAAUCUACCUUUUCGUGGGGGAUAACCCGGGGAAACUCGGGCUAAUACCGCAUACGCCCUACGGGGGAAAGCGGGGGACCUUCGGGCCUCGCGCGGAACGAUGAGCCUGCGUCCUAUCAGGUAGUUGGUGAGGUAAUGGCUCACCAAGCCGACGACGGGUAGCUGGUCUGAGAGGACGACCAGCCACACUGGGACUGAGACACGGCCCAGACUCCUACGGGAGGCAGCAGUGGGGAAUAUUGGACAAUGGGGGAAACCCUGAUCCAGCAAUACCGCGUGUGUGAAGAAGGCCUUCGGGUUGUAAAGCACUUUUAGCAGGAAAGAAAGACUAUGCGCUAAUACCGCAUGGUUUUGACGUUACUUGCAGAAAAAGCACCGGCUAA